Molecule: ribosomal RNA, 1230 nt
Filed under: uncultured Actinomycetes bacterium
Lineage: Bacteria; Bacillati; Actinomycetota; Actinomycetes
Description: bacterial SSU rRNA
Rfam family: Bacterial small subunit ribosomal RNA
Source: RNAcentral
UCGCGGCCUAUCAGCUUGUUGGUGAGGUAAUGGCUCACCAAGGCGACGACGGAUAGCUGGCCUGAGAGGGUGACUAGCCACACUGGGACUGAGACACGGCCCAGACUCCUACGGGAGGCAGCAGUAGGGAAUAUUGCGCAAUGGGCGAAAGCCUGACGCAGCGACGCCGCGUGAGGGAUGACGGCCUUCGGGUUGUAAACCUCUUUUGGCAGGGAAGAAGCGAAAGUGACGGUACCUGCAGAAUAAGCCCCGGCCAACUACGUGCCAGCAGCCGCGGUAAUACGUAGGGGGCGAGCGUUGUCCGGAAUCAUUGGGCGUAAAGAGCUCGUAGGCGGUUUUGCAAGUCGGCGGUGAAAGCUCAGGACUCAACCCUGAGAGGUCCGCCGAUACUGCAAUGACUUGAGUCCGGUAGAGGAAUGUGGAACUCCUGGUGUAGCGGUGAAAUGCGCAGAUAUCAGGAAGAACACCAGUGGCGAAGGCGGCAUUCUGGGCCGGUACUGACGCUGAGGAGCGAAAGCUAGGGGAGCAAACAGGAUUAGAUACCCUGGUAGUCCUAGCUGUAAACGAUGGGCACUAGGUGUGGGGAGGCGCUAGCCCUUUCUGUGCCGAAGCUAACGCAUUAAGUGCCCCGCCUGGGGAGUACGGCCGCAAGGCUAACACUCAAAGGAAUUGACGGGGGCCCGCACAAGCGGCGGAGCAUGUUGCUCAAUUCGAUGCAACGCGAAGAACCUUACCUGGAUUUGACAUGUAGGGAAAAGCAGCAGAGAUGUUGUGUGCUACGGCGUCCUACACAGGUGUUGCAUGGCUGUCGUCAGCUCGUGUCGUGAGAUGUUGGGUUAAGUCCCGCAACGAGCGCAACCCUUGUCCUAUGUUGCCAGCGAGUAAUGUCGGGGACUCAUAGGAGACUGCCGGGGUCAACUCGGAGGAAGGUGGGGACGACGUCAAGUCAUCAUGGCCCUUAUGUCCAGGGCUGCAAACAUGCUACAAUGGCUGGUACAGAGAGCUGCGAACCUGUGAGGGUAAGCGAAUCCCACAAAGCCAGUCUCAGUUCGGAUCGCAGUCUGCAACUCGACUGCGUGAAGCCGGAGUCGCUAGUAAUGGCAGAUCAGCAAUGCUGCCGUGAAUACGUUCCCGGGCCUUGUACACACCGCCCGUCACACCACGAAAGUCAGAAACACCCGAAGCCGGUGGCCUAACCAUUUGGAGGGAGCCGUCGAAGGUGGGGCUGGA